UUGACGCAGAUGUAAGUGGGACAGAUGAAGUUCAUGUUCCACAGCUGGUGAUGGCGGAUGUUGUUGAAAAAGACACCAUGAAGAAUUACCACAUAGCGUCUGAGAAAAUUAACCCGGAGGCCAGCCGCUACCCUUACUGCAUUGUGUGGACCCCUAUCCCCGUCUUAUCAUGGCUGCUUCCAUUCAUUGGUCACAUGGGAAUCUGCACCUCCACUGGAGUCAUCCGAGACUUUGCUGGACCGUACUUUGUCUCGGAGGACAACAUGGCUUUUGGAAGACCGACAAAGUACUGGAUGCUUGAUGUAAGCAAAGUCUACGCCAGCGGCUCCAACGCCUGGGACACUGCAGUACAUGACGCAUCAGAGGAGUAUAAGCACAGGAUGCACAACCUGUGCUGCGACAACUGUCACUCACACGUUGCCAUGGCUCUGAAUCUGAUGCGGUACGAAAACAGCACCUCGUGGAACAUGGUCAAACUCUGCCUCCUCGCUCUCAUCCAUGGAAAACAUGUCAGCUGUGCAGGCUUCCUGAAGACCUGGCUGCCUUUCCUGAUGCUCAUGGGCAUCAUCCUUACAGUGGCCUUGGCCCUCAACCUCCGGUGACCGGGGAGACAGGUUUAAGACACGGUGAAAAACCCCCUCCUGCGGCUCAGAUGCGGCGCUGACCUUUUGAACAACAAAGGGGAGGGGGCAUCACACGGCGUCGAACGAAAGUAACCGAGGGGAUGAAGACUACUCACCUCCAGGAGGAGAUUGUUGGACGGGGAUGUCCGACACAUUGCUUGAUUUGUGGAGAGCAGGCGACCGGUCACUGGCAUUUACUGCAAAGUUGAAGCUGGAAACCCCCAGUGACGGGAAUUCAUUAAUAUCCACAUGCGUUUAGAGAAGUGACUGAACACUACACCGCCACCCACAACCACCACGACAACACAAACACCGAAUGGAUUAUGGAUGUCGAGAGUUUGAUCGCAGGUUCAAGCCAUCCCCACCUGCAGAGUGUAACAGUACGCACGUUGUUGAAUUCUCUGAGGGACACACAUCCAUGCCUUGCUUUCCGAUUUAGAUGACUUUACUGUGUAAUGGAUUGGGAGUGUAAUCCCCCUGAUUCAGUGCUUCCAGAAUGCCAUUUUUAUACUGGGGAACAUGUUAAAUCAAUUAGCUGCCUUUCAAGGGAAUUUAUUGCAUUUCAUGCUUGAUCUAAUGUAGCUCUUUCACAGUACUGCAACUAAUACCUAAUUACACAAGAGCAGUUUGUAUUUUUGUGCGUUUUCUUACUCUUAUUCGAUAGAAUAUCAAACAGCCUGCAUCUCUAAAAAGAAAUAUUUUCUCAGAGAUCUGUUGUACUUGCUUUACAUGUAUCACCUCAUGGUACUUUUAAGUACAGGUUCAUCAGUGCAACGAUUGUAGCAACCUCAAUGAAUGUGGCUGUGGUAAAUAUCUAGAGAAACCAAGGGAAUAGUAAAGCUCCUCUUGGUUUUCUGUACAUGUGCCAAAUGUAGGAGAACGUGAGACCAACUCAAACUGUGUCUUUGCAUAUCUGACUUGUUCUGUAGUGGAACAGCUCAUCAGUGACUCCACACUCAUUGAAUGGAAAAGCCUGCAGAUGUCAGCAUUCUGAAACCUGCUGAUUGUUCUGUUCACUCUUAAGGAUGUUUUCCCCUUACUGGUUUUGACUUUCAUGAGAAAAAGCAAGAGUCAGUGCCUAAAAAUGACCUCUAUCAUCAUUCCCUUGUACACUAUAUGGUAUAUUUUUAGCUCUGUGGUUGUGUUUGACUCCUUUCUCAAAACGUUAAAUCCACAUGAUAGUUGGCACUCAAAAUCCGUUGCCAUGGCUGUCGUGAGCAGAUUCAAAUCCCCUCAUUGUUUGCAAUCAAACAGGAAAAAAAGUGUUGAGCCCUCUCUUUGUCCACGGUGCUGCCAGAAGCAGCAGGUAGCCAGGAUCCUCAGGUUUUUCACGCUCACAACCCCUGCUGUAUAUCCCGUUUCCCCCCCAGCGCCUGACCAGCGUCGCUCCCGCUGUUUUCCACCUCUGCAGAUCACAUUCGAAGGUCAUUGUGAAAUGUCAGCGCUGUUUCACAAAGCUUUGUUAUGUAUCGACCAACAUCUCCGCAAUAAUCCAAAGCAGAUGUCAUUUCAGUGUGAGCUUCUAAAUUAAAGUCUGUUUUCUUUUCUGUAGUAGGAGUUUUCCUCUAGGGCUAACACAGUGCCAGUUUUCUAGACUUUGCUCUCCUCAUCAGGCUCCUGUUGAAAGCAGAUAUUCUGUGGCCUCUUCUUGUGCGUAUCUCACCCAUGUUGCCUGUAAAUAUUUGAACAUUCUCCACAUCAGGUGCUCUUUCUAUACUUUGCAAACUUGAUCACUCACUACAGAUUUGCCCCCUGAAUAAUUUAAUGUAAUUUUCUUUGUUCUCUUUCCUCCACUUUUGCAUAUCAUGUCUGCUCAACAGUGAAGCAGAUUCGUGCCUGGAUCAGUGUGUGAUUGUGUACGUGUGUAUAUGUGUGUGUGCUGUACACAUAAAUGACUGGAGAGAGCAUGCAGUUGCAUGCCAGCAUGUGUGUAGUGCAUGCGUGCUAGAAUAUGAGUGGAACUGUUGGUGAGAGAAGUUCAUGGUUGAUUCAUAGCUGUGGUUUCUUAUUAAUUAGCUGCAUCUUAUUGCAGCAAGCUGCCUAGUGAUUGAUUUCUAUAUGUAUCACUCUAUAUUUUUCUCUUAAUCUCUUUUAAAUGUUAUGUGAUUGCUGGUAUUCUUUAGUGAGAAUAAAUAAUAUAUUAAACUGUAACAGGCCCGCUUAAGUUGAUGUUGAUUCGAUGCAAUAGCUGGUUCCGUGUGUACUGUAGCUACAGAUUCUGUAGAUUAGAGCUGCAGAGUCUUUUUCUCAAAGAGGAAAUGCAAAGAAAUGGAUAGUCUGGCUUCCACUGGGUGGUAACGGUCUAUAUACACUACCGUUCAAAAGUUUGGGGUCACCCAAGCUAUUUCAUGUUUUCCAUGAAAACUCACACUUUUAUUCAUUCGCUAACAUAACUGCACAAGGGGUUUCUAAUCAUCAAUCAGCCUUUCAACACCAUUAGCUAACACAAUGUAGCAUUAGAACACAGGAGUGAUGGUUGCUGGAAAUGUUCCUCUGUGCACCUAUGUAUAGAUAUUCCAUUAAACAUCAGUUGUUUUCAGCUAGAGUAGUCAUUUAUCAAAUUAACAAUGUCUAGACUGUAUUUCUGAUUAAUGUAAUGUUAUCUUCAUUUUUUUUUAAACUGCUUUUCUUUCAAAAAUAAAGACAUUUCAAAGCGAUCCCAAACUUUGAACGAUAGUGUAACUAUGUGGAGACUGGGUUGUAACAGUAGUGGCAGUUCAGAAAACAGCUACAAGUCAUUUUUUGCAACAGAAGGAAGACAUACAGAAAAGACAUUUUUACAUACGGAACAUCUGACAACAACCCAGUGAAUCAUCUUAGCAACUGAGGUGCCUUAAUGUGGUGUCAGUUUUAUGGGGAAGUAGAGGUAGCAUUAUAAAUGAGGCAUUCAGAGCAGACUGAGGGGGUAUUUCUACAUGUUCACCAACUUUUUGUUGUCUAACAUCAACUUCUGACUGGAUUGACAAGAAAUCACAAAAACAGGACCUGUCGUCCUAGAUUGUCUUUGUAUGACACAGGAAGUGUUUCCUUUAUGAAAACAUUUCUACCACUAGGCUGAUGAUUCGUCAGUACCAGUGUUUGGAUAUGAGUCAGAUCUAUCACUUUACGUGAAGGGCUUGGAAACACAUUUUGUUUUUGUUUAUUACCUGAUGAAUAUUUGCUGACAUCAUCCAUCAGUGUGAUCCUUGAAAUCCAGAUUUGUUUGUUCCGUUUAUUAACAGUUUCUAAAGACUGCAGCACAUGGGACAGGGAAGGAUGGGGAAACCUUUUAAAGCAUGUUAAGAUGGAGUGACACAGGCUGAGCAGAAUUUCUAGUGUUUGUCAGAAAAUGCUACCAAAAAAGUCAAUUUUAGCUGAUGGCUCCUUUAAUCUUCUUUUCUUUUCCUUUUUUUGUACACUUGUAACCUACAAUGCAUUAGUAUCGUUCACUAUUUUCUCAUUUUUCUAUUCGGUAUACAACUGCUUAACACUGUAAACAGAAUACUGAAAAGUCUGUGUGAAUAGAAAUAAUUGUACAUUUGUGCAAGAUGCUAAUUUGUUGUAUUUCCACUGACUGCAGUGCAGUGUGUGAGGCAAUUGUGCUGACCAUAGUUGGUUCUCUUCCAGUUCUUUUGCAGUGUUAACAUAUAGUUUCUUAGCUUCUUCUGGUGCAAAUGUUGUAUGAAACAUUUCUAAUACAGCAGCUGUGUUUCAAGCAUAACUUUAACUGUCGGCAAAAAUAAAGAAAAGAAAAUGAAGCUGAGAGAAAACUG
RNA transcript from Acanthochromis polyacanthus (spiny chromis), 4375 nucleotides. It is a transcript of the gene named transmembrane protein 222b, with no coding region annotated. The record is from RefSeq and is a predicted model, not a curated record. NCBI's taxonomy places the organism in Eukaryota, Metazoa, Chordata, Actinopteri, Pomacentridae. The transcript has 7 exons.